UAAUACGGAGGGUGCAAGCGUUAAUCGGAAUUACUGGGCGUAAAGCGCGCGUAGGCGGCUGACUAAGUCGGGUGUGAAAGCCCCGGGCUCAACCUGGGAAUUGCAUUCGAUACUGGUUGGCUGGAGUCUGGUAGAGGGGUGUGGAAUUCCAGGUGUAGCGGUGAAAUGCGUAGAUAUCUGGAGGAACAUCAGUGGCGAAGGCGGCACCCUGGACCAAGACUGACGCUGAGGUGCGAAAGCGUGGGUAGCAAACAGGAUUAGAUACCCUGGUAGUCCACGCCGUAAACGAUGAGAACUAGCCGUUGGGAGGAUUAGCCUCUUAGUGGCGAAGCUAACGCGAUAAGUUCUCCGCCUGGGGAGUACGGCCGCAAGGUUA
Molecule: ribosomal RNA, 376 nt
Filed under: uncultured bacterium
Lineage: Bacteria
Description: bacterial SSU rRNA
Rfam family: Bacterial small subunit ribosomal RNA
Source: RNAcentral